AUGGAGCGUAUCGGCGACAAGGUGAUCAGCAGGGCCGAGAUCACGGACGCCGCGUCGGCCACGUUCGCGGACUCCACUGUGAUCCCCGACAGGUAUGCCCGGCCAGAUGAGGUCAGGGACGGGGUCGUCGUCGGCAGCGACGAGAGCUAUGAGCUACCGGUUGUAGACAUGGCGAGGCUGCUUCACCCGGAGUUGUCGGAAGCCGAGAUUGCCAAGCUUGGCUCUGCGUGUCGAGACUGGGGCUUCUUCCAGUUAACAAACCACGGAGUUGAUGAAACAGUUGUACAAGAUAUGAAAGAUAACACUCUGCAGUUCUUUGGCUUGCCGCUGGAGAAGAAGAAGGCAGUGGCCAUCCAAGCCAAUGGCUUCGAAGGGUUUGGACACCACUACAACAGAGCGUCGUCUGAAAAGUUGGACUGGGCAGAGAGCCUAAUCCUCGUGACGCAGCAACACGAGCAAAGGAACAUUCAGUUUUGGCCUGCCAAUCCGUCGACAUUUAGGGAUGCACUUGACAAGUACUCAGUGGAGAUGUCAAAUCUCACAAGCCGCCUUACGGUGUUCAUGGCGAGUGACCUCGGCGUUGAGCAGGAGGCCCUCAUGGGAACCUUCCAGGGCAAGACGCAGAGUGUUGCCUUCCACUACUACCCUCCGUGCCGCCACCCGGACAAGGUGAUCGGUAUCACGCCGCACCAUGACGGCCUCGGCCUGACGCUGCUGCUGCACGUGGAUGACACCCCCGGCCUGCAGGUGAGGAAAAACGGCAGGUGGUACCCGCUGAACCCGCUGCCAGGCGCCUUCGUCAUCAACGUCGGCGACAUUCUCCAGAUCCUCACCAAUGGCACGUACAAGAGCGCCGAGCACAGGGUGCUGCCGGACGUCGAGAAAGGGCGGGCCACUGUGGUGAUGUUUCAGAAUGCUUGUGUUGCCGGAAUGGUGAAGCCGCUCCCGGAGCUAGGCGAGGCGACGUACAAGGCCAUCGACCAUGUUGAGUAUGUCAAGGGGAACUUCAGCGCGCUGGCUGAAGGGACAAGAACCACGACGAGUAAAUCGGAGCGGAGGGAGUACGUUCUGAAUCUUUGUGUCGUAUAUGUAUCUGGUGGCAAUUACAAACCAGAACAUAAAAUAAAUAAACUCAGCGGGACUGAUUUUUCUAGAUCAAUCUGCUAG
RNAcentral lists this ribosomal RNA (1167 nucleotides) under Triticum aestivum (bread wheat). RNAcentral's name for it is "partial small subunit ribosomal RNA". Lineage: Eukaryota; Viridiplantae; Streptophyta; Magnoliopsida; Poales; Poaceae. The record is from RNAcentral.